RNAcentral lists this small RNA (724 nucleotides) under Pongo abelii (Sumatran orangutan). Its description in RNAcentral is "processed transcript". The record is from RNAcentral. Lineage: Eukaryota; Metazoa; Chordata; Mammalia; Primates; Hominidae.
CGUGAACGCAGCUCGGCUGCCGCUGGCAGGAAACAAUUCUGCAAAAAUAAUCAUACUCAGCCUGGCAAUUGUCUGCCCCUAGGUCUGUCGCUCUGCCGCCGUCCACACUCGCUGCAGGGGGGAGGCGCAGAAUUUACCGCGGCAAGAACAUCCCUCCCAGCCAGCAGAUUACAAUGCUGCAAACUAAGGAUCUCAUCUGGACUUUGUUUUUCCUGGGAACUGCAGGUAAGGAACUGCAAACCGUAUUAAUAUGCUGAAACAGCACCAACUUAUAACAUGCAAAAGGAGAUGCAUUUUAAUCACUGGGAAUUUUUUUACUUUAAGAGAAAAAGUGAUGGAUUGUGAGGACCUCAAUUCUCGUAUUGAUGUUUGGCUGAUGGAUUUCACAUCUCCUGAGGCCUGGUGUUGAAUGAGACUCAGGUUUAUGUGUGUGAUGGGGGAGAAAGUCAGGGGGCAAUCUUUGCGUUUAUGAGUUUUUGUCAGCAGCUCACAAACUUGGAGAGAAAUUACAGACAUUUCACAGUUAAGCUGUGUAAAGACCAAAAUAUUAAAUAAAAAGGUGAGGGGGUGUUAAUAUUGCUUUGGCUCCAGACUUUGAAGCAAAAGUAAUUCAACUAAUAAUGAGUUCAUUAAAUAUGUGUCAUGAUAGGCGAGAGGCCAUUUCGGUUCUUUGCCAAAUGAGAAAAUUUAUAAUCUUGUAUCUGCUAAUCACAUCCACCUACCA